GCGCCGACCUUGAUCUCGUAGCCGGCGCCAGCAGCCGCGCUUUGGGGCGUCGGCUCACGUGGGGCCGGCAACGCGUCUUCCAGGAUGUUCGCGCGCUAGUCGCCGCUGAGGGGCCGGCGAUGCGCGAGGAGUUCCGGCGAGGAAGGUCGGUCAGUGGACAUGGCCGAGGCCCGCGGUGUCCGCGUGUGGGAGCUGCAGGGCUGAGGAGAGGCCGCCCGCAACCCUCGGGAAUCGUGUGAGGAACAGAAUUGCCAUUGGGCCCAGGGAGAGACUACACUUCUUGUCUGCUUUGUUGCUAGUGCGGCCUUGUGGCCAAGCACAGAACGUGUGCAGUGAUGAUGGUGCAACUUCUAGGUCGUCCCCAGCAUGGAAAAUGAGCCCUGGGCAUGGAAGAUGAGCCCUGGUCCUGCAGCGGUGCUCUUUCCUCUUCUCACAAGCUGGAAUGUGCAUGUGCUCCCACCCAGCUUUGACCAUGGGGCGAAAACAG
This 487-nucleotide long non-coding RNA is filed under the name Homo sapiens (human). RNAcentral describes it as "non-protein coding NUP50-DT:39". The record is from RNAcentral. Lineage: Eukaryota; Metazoa; Chordata; Mammalia; Primates; Hominidae.